CAACUUGAGAGUUUGAUCCUGGCUCAGGACGAACGCUGGCGGCAGGCUUAACACAUGCAAGUCGAGCGCCCCGCAAGGGGAGCGGCAGACGGGUGAGUAACGCGUGGGAACGUGCCCUUCGGUACGGAAUAGCCCUGGGAAACUGGGUGUAAUACCGUAUACGACCUCCGGGUGAAAGAUUUAUCGCCGAAGGAUCGGCCCGCGUUAGAUUAGCUAGUUGGUGGGGUAAAGGCCUACCAAGG
RNAcentral lists this ribosomal RNA (242 nucleotides) under Parvularculaceae bacterium. RNAcentral's name for it is "partial 16S ribosomal RNA". It matches the Rfam family "Bacterial small subunit ribosomal RNA", at positions 1 to 273 of the family's 1533-position model. Lineage: Bacteria; Pseudomonadati; Pseudomonadota; Alphaproteobacteria; Parvularculales; Parvularculaceae. The record is from RNAcentral.